Non-coding RNA from Chrysemys picta bellii (western painted turtle), 2985 nucleotides. Lineage: Eukaryota; Metazoa; Chordata; Testudines; Emydidae. The record is from RefSeq and is a predicted model, not a curated record.
UAGCUAGUUAUGGCUCUGGCUCCUCAUCAAGCAGAGGAGGGAUUUGAAUGCAUGUCUCCCACAUCAUCCUGGGUGUCUGCUCUAACCACUGGACUAUUAGGUAAAAAGGGGCAGCACUAUCAUUAUUUUGAAUGAGGCCCAAUCCAGUAGGUGGCCUCUGAGCACACCCACCCCACUGGCAAGAUACAGGGGGAAUGCUUAGUUUGUGAAUCCAACCAGCUGUGUGCAUGUCCACAAGUAGAAAUUUAGGCAUCUAAGGGAUUUUAUUGACAGAAAUAUAGGCACUUAGAGAAUUUAUGCACCAGCCAAGCAGAGAUUUUGAGGACCUACAUUUUUUAAUUAGAUCCCUGAAGUGGCAGUUAAAUGUCUAAAUCCCUUCAUGGAUCUUCCUAGGGAGCCUUGCACAUUUGCACUAGGUAUGUGCAAUCUUGAGCCUUGCAUUCUUAGUACGCAAGGACCCCAAAGGAACUGGAAGUGAGAGGGACUAUUCCUCCCAUGUUGGCCAGCAGAGCAAAGGUAGUGCAGAGGAGUGUACAUGCUUCAUUCUCUCAAAGAUUUGCAGCUUCUGCACAGAUGUUUUCCCCUAAAGGUGCUCUGACUGAAUGAGCAAGAAUGCCUAAGGGACCGCACGCAAAGAAGGACAUACCUCUACAUCCCACAGAUGGGGCUUUGACUAUAAAAGCCAGAACAAAGCCCUACACUUGAAGAAGGAGAGGUACUGGUAAGUACUUGGACCACAGAUCUCUUGGAGAUUACAUAUGAAUGGCACCCUUCAAUUAAUCCGCUUUCACAAGAAAUUCCAAGUUCAAUCAGCUGUAAUUAUGAGCCUAUUUCCUGAUGCAAUCAUUAUAAAAGUAGAAGCCUCUCCCCGCCCCACCACACAGAUCACAGCUGCUGAAUUUGUAUUCACUGUGAAUGGAUGAGACCUUGGAUGCUGUAGCAGGUUCAGUCUGGUUUUCCACACUGGAUAUUAAAAGUGAUACUGGUGGUUGAAAGCAACAGAUGUCUGAUGAAGUGGGUAUUCACCCACGAAAACUUAUGCUCCAAUACAUCUGUUAGUCUUAAAAAAAUAAUCCUGCAAGGUCCCAAAUACUGGCAACUGUUAAAGCCAAAGGAGCAACAAUAUCUACACACAAGAACAAUGAAGAAACACAAUUUGCUGAUGAAGAGGAUCAUUUUCCUCCUGGUGGAGCUUUUCACUUUACACUAUAAAGUUGCACGCCAUGUGUACUCUUUAUCAUCCCAACUUCUCCCUAAUUUCAAGCUAUACAAAAAAAACCAGAGUAUUCUGUUAAUAAGCAAAAACCCAACCCCAAUUGCUACUAACUUUAGAUGGAGCUAGCAGUGACAUCUAUAGUUAAAGUUGCCUAACACUUUCCAUUAUAACACCCUGUUUACAGGUGCUUGUAACUUUUCCAAAUUUAAACUGUUGGAUUGGAAUUUUCCAUGCUGGGUGUCUGCCUCAGAUUAAAUUUUUUGUGACAGUCUCAGCAAAAGUAGCUUAGCCCAUUCCAAGAAUAAGGUUAGGGAAAAGACAAUGUUUUGCCCAUGUUAAAAAAAUUCUUACAAUUGUUUCAGUGAGAAGCUCUACCACCUCCUUGCUUUAGAGCAGGGACUUGCAAUUUGGCAGGAGAUUGCCCUAGUGUCAGGGAUGUGCCUUUUGCUCUCUCCAUAUAUAUUAUGUAAAAAUCCAGCUCAAUUUAUAUGCCUCAGAGAUGUAGUUCACACAUGCUCUGUAGAGGUUUGUUAUAGGCUGGCAGCAUUACUUGCUGAAGAUUUUGUCUGCACUGAACAUGUUCCGCCCGCACCCCGUCCCCCUCCCCGCAACGCCUACAUACUAGCUGGACUGAACAUACUCCAACUGCAUAGAACACCUAAACUUGCUCCAACCCAGAGCUGCUGGGGCUAAGAAGAACUUUCGCUGCAAUUGCUUCUCUUGGCUAUCAAGGUCUGCUGUGGCAGCCGGUACCAGAACUGAGAGGAUGGAGACAGUCUCUUUUAAGCUUUCAGUGCUCCCUCUCCUGGUGUCCUGGCUGUAUGGUGGAAGGGGUAACAGUCUGACUUGAAAAAAUAGGAUACGAUAGGAGCAGAGAGUGACAGAUACUUGGAGGAUAGGUGUAGAGAGGGACAGAGACUGGGACAAGAAUCAGAGGAUUGGAAGCAAAAGCCUAGGGUGACAAGAACAGGCACUGCAGAGGAGGAAAUGAACAGGAGCUGGGGGAGAGAGAUAGGAACAGGACAGGGAUAGGCUCAGGGCAGGAAUGGAAAGAUCUGUGACCACUAGACCACCUCCUCUACAGAAUUUGGAACUGAACUAAGGUGAUCAGACAGCAAGUGUGAAAAAUUGGGACAGGGGGUAGGAGGUAAUAGGCACCUAUAUAAGACAAAGCCUCAAAUAUCAGGACUGUCCCUAAAAAAUCAUGACACCUGGUCACCCUAAACUGAAUCAGGAUUCAUUAAUCUAAACAUUCCUUUUCUGUCUAGCAAAUAGCUGUGAGUCACAGAGAUACCCACUACCAAAAUAAGUCUCAUCUCCCUCUAGUCCUCCCAGAUACUCUGUUAGUUCCGGUGGUAGAUCUGUAUAGCAGAUCCUACUGAUGAAUCAUGUGGAAGUAAAUAUGAUUCCAUAUGAUAGAAUUCUUUUUAGUUUACUUUUCAAAAAUUUAGUCUUUUUAAAUGUAAUUUCCUAUGUUAAAAUAAUAUAAAGGUGCAAAGUCAAGUGUUCAAAACUUAGGAAAUGCUAGAAUUAAGGUUGCCUUUACAACCUUAAUUUGUCCCCCUUGUGCAUAUGUACUCUGCCUCAUUCAGAGUACAGGAUGGACUGUGUUCCAGCAAUGAAUCAAAGUUUUGGAGUUAAUGAGGGUUUGAUGGUACCUCCCAUAAGGCUCUAUGGAAAUAUGCUUAGAAUGUGUUUUAUGCUACAUAUGCCAUGUAACAUAUCUCUGUAAAGGUUAUGAUCUACUGAAUGUAUUAAUACUAUUUGCA